This 844-nucleotide long non-coding RNA is filed under the name Malus domestica (apple). Its description in RNAcentral is "long non-coding RNA (MDOM_LNC012577)". Lineage: Eukaryota; Viridiplantae; Streptophyta; Magnoliopsida; Rosales; Rosaceae. The record is from RNAcentral.
UGUUUUGUUUUUGAGUGCAUACAAGCAUGAUUCCGCCUUUAAUUGUUAAAUUGCAUGCUAUAUGAUGUUGCUCAAAUGAACAUGUUUUUCAAAAUAAUUCCUUCAACAAGUAUGUAGGUGCUCAUUAAGGGAAUGAGUUCACUGAACACAAUCGAACGAGAGUACUUGCAUGGAGGUCUACUCACAUGUCAAGCAAGUAACUCUAAUAGUUGAAAUAAUGUAAGUAGUCCUUUAACCUGAGGCAUCAUCGUUGUCUUGUGGUUAAGUACUUGAUCUUUGAUUAUGUCAAAGUCACUCCAUCCGCGGGUGUCCACAGCAUAGUCGGGGUUAAGCCACUUAGUCAUGAAGGCAAGUGAAUGCACAACAAGGAAUCUCUAAUCCUCGUUAAGAGAGGAUGAAUACUCUAAGUUAUGAUUCUGGAAUCUUCGGCCGAAGUAUCGAGCAUAAUAAAGGAAAGCGUUCCUAUACGACUCAAUUGAAUCAUAUAAGAAGGAAUAAUCACAUUAGGGGUUUGACAUAAUAUAUCCAUACCCUAGUGAUGUGAUUCAGAGUAUUGUUUUAGAGAAGGAUUGAAUUACAUUGUAAUACCAACUGAAUAGGUUCUCCGAACAACUUCUACAUUAGCUUGGGUAGCCAUGAUAUAUGGUUAGAUGUCACUUAUGGCUUGUGAGUUCUUCUAGAUGAUUAAAUGUAGUCGUCAAAGAAGAAGGUGAAUUAAAAGUAAGUUUUAAUUCACUAAGUGAUUGGAUUAAAUGUAAUCAAUUGGAUUGGUGCCAAUCACCUCACUGCCUUACUAAUUAGAACCUAAAACGAUUGUUCACCAAUACACUCUUGUAGUGAGUAA